CUCAGGGGCUGUGGGGAAUAACCUCUGGAAACACAUACUCUAUUAUGCUAAUGCUGGACUACAGUCAUCCUGAAAGAAGGGAUUAAAGGCAAAUUAAAUAUUAUCUGAAGGAAACAAAACCAUUUCAACUUUUAUUUUCUACCUCAUCUACAGAAGAAAAACUAACACUGAAUAAAUCUCCAAAAUUUCAUCACCUAAGUGAAGUUUUCUCUUUUCAAUAGCACGUCAUGGAGUCAUCUUCUGGACCCUCUGAAUCCAGUUCCCUUCAUGGAAAAGACAGACCGAUCCACUCACUUUCUAUUUGGUGAGACCUGGUACCAUGGCUCACCUAGUUGAAAGAAAAGAACAAUUCUUCCAAGGAUCGUGACCAAUCAUGCCAGCUAUAUCUCAAAAGAAAACCAGUUGUUAUAAUUGUAUCGAACUUCAAAUUAAAAGAAAGUAAA
This 443-nucleotide long non-coding RNA is filed under the name Equus asinus (donkey). Its description in RNAcentral is "lncRNA (ENSEASG00005029794.1)". Lineage: Eukaryota; Metazoa; Chordata; Mammalia; Perissodactyla; Equidae. The record is from RNAcentral.